Small nuclear RNA from Molossus molossus (Pallas's mastiff bat), 104 nucleotides. NCBI's taxonomy places the organism in Eukaryota, Metazoa, Chordata, Mammalia, Chiroptera, Molossidae. The record is from RefSeq and is a predicted model, not a curated record.
GUGCUCACUUCAGCAGCACAUCCACUAAAGUUGGAACAAAUGAUACAGAGAUGAUUAGUAUGGCCCCUGUGCAAGGAUGACAUGAAAAUUUGUGUCAUAUUUUA